Durio zibethinus is the source of this 1814-nucleotide non-coding RNA. The record is from RefSeq and is a predicted model, not a curated record. Lineage: Eukaryota; Viridiplantae; Streptophyta; Magnoliopsida; Malvales; Malvaceae.
CUAAGCUCAAGCCUACUCCCGCCGACCCCCUCCUCCCCGACACGCUAACGGCACCCCGACCCUCCCUCCUAGUAGCGCUGCUGCCUGUGCGACCCCAUCCUCCGCUGACCGCCAUCCCAACCGGCACCCGACCCCUACGCGAGCUGCGCGCCCUCCCCUGCCCAAUCCACCCCUUUCUCGAGCUGGGCUCCUCCCUCCCCUUGCGCUACCAGCGUCUCUUUCAGCCAUGGCUAUCGCUGGUGCCCCGUUGGAGGCCUAACGGGCACUUGGCCUCCCCCUUUCCUCCUCAUUUGUCAAAGUCCAAUUAUCUCAUGGGCAUAUAUAUGAUAACUACUGUUGGUGGGAAUGGAGGUUAACUUGGGGGGGAAGCAGUUUGUUUCCGAUAAACUCCGUGAAAAGCUCUCUCACUUGCGCCAUGAGUGCGCGUUGAUUGUUAAAUUGUUAUAAAACUUGAAAAUUAAGAAUGAGGCCAUUAGCAAGAGGAAUAUGUUAUUAAUGGCAAACAAGUAAGUUAAAAAGUUUCAACCUUUUUUCCUAUUUACAUGGGUUUAUUAGACUGGUCCUCCUCGGUAUCAUAGAAAUGUUUAGCAUCGAUAAAUUCUUCUCUCUUUUGCCUUCAUCCCAGCAUGCUAAAGACACUUGAUAGAUAUCAGAAAUGCAGCUAUGGUGCAAUGAAAGUUAGCAAGCCAGCCCAAGAGCUUGAGUUGAGAUGGCAAUAAUUCUAUCAUUGCACAAUAUUUACUGCAACUUAAUUUGAGAGCUUGAGCUGCUAUUGGGAGUACCUGAAACUGAAAGCUAGAUAUGAGGCCCUGCAACGCACUCAGAGAAAUCUUCUUGAUCAAGACUUGGGCCCCUUGAACUCCAAAAGAGCUUAAGCAGCAUGAGCGUCAACUAUAGUCAUCCUUGAAACAUGUCCGCUCCACCAAGAACUAGUCAAAGAACGUUAUGGACCCGACUGAUUCCAAGUUUGUUUUUCUUUUGAGAUGCAACCAAAUUUCCAUCACUGUAGUUUCUAGUUGUGAGGUCUGGUUUACAUUCCAUAUGUUCAAGGAUUUGGCAACAGCAUUCUAGUCGUGAGAGACAUUGAAUCCAAUAUUCCAAUUAAGUUUAAGUCCAUGGAAUAAGAAAAUAACAGCAAGGCAGAAUAAAUGUUAGACACCAAAGUAUCACACGUGCAAAUAUCUCUAGAUAUGGUUUUAGGGUGGUUGGGAGCACUACAAAUGAAAGUUGAAGGGUAUUUGAGAGCAUUAAUUCGCAAAAGCUUGAUGAGGUUAUUACUUUGCAAAAGCAAGUUGAAUAUGCUCUUGGUAUUUAUGUAUUUAUUCAUGAUCAUCAUUUUUUACAACUUUGUAACUUGUAAGUUGUGAGAAAUGCCACUAGGUUUUCAUUAAGUUGUUGUAUUGUGUCUAAUAUCUUGAUAAUAUAUCUGUAGUGAGAAAUGCUAAAUGAUUUUCAUAAGUUGUUGCAUAGUGUCUUGAUAAUAUAUUUGUUACUUAGUUCUCUUUGACUGUUUCUUAAUAAACUUACGUACUUGGGCAUUGAUGAUGAAGAUAUCAAAGAGGAAUUCAUGAAAACCAUAAAGAUCCAAUCCCUGAAGCUGGUCCUAGUAAUGCAGCAGGAUUAAUCUUUUAGCAUAUGGUGCAUUAAAUGGAUAAAAGCAGUAGUUCCUGUGGAGAAGCAAGUAAAUUUUGGCGAUAAAACUGAUUACUUGAGCCUUUUUUUAAAGAUAUAUGCAGCACUUGCACCGAUAUGUUCAUAGAGAAGCAAGUAAAUUUUGGCGAUAGAACUGAUUACUUGAGCCCUUUUAAAGACAU